CCUACGGGUGGCAGCAGUGAGGAAUAUUGGUCAAUGGACGAGAGUCUGAACCAGCCAAGUAGCGUGAAGGAUGACUGCCCUAUGGGUUGUAAACUUCUUUUAUAAAGGAAUAAAACGAGGCACGUGUGCCUUUUUGCAUGUACUUUAUGAAUAAGGAUCGGCCAACUCUGUGCCAGACGCCGCGGUAAUACGGAGGAUCUGAGCGUUAUCCGGAUUUUUUGGGUUUAAAGGGCGCGUAGAGGGGUUGUUAAGUCAGUUGUGAAAGUUUGCGGCUCAACCGUAAAAUUGCAAUUGAUACUGGCAGUCUUGAGUACAGUUGAGGUAGGCGGAAUUCGUGGUGUAGCGGUGAAAUGCUUAGAUAUCACGAAGAACCCCGAUUGCGAAGGCAGCUUACUAAACUGUGACUGACAUUGAUGCUCGAAAGUGUGGGUAUCAAACAGGAUUAGAUACCCGGGUAGUC
RNAcentral lists this ribosomal RNA (460 nucleotides) under uncultured bacterium. RNAcentral's name for it is "partial 16S ribosomal RNA". It matches the Rfam family "Bacterial small subunit ribosomal RNA", at positions 338 to 795 of the family's 1533-position model. The record is from RNAcentral.